AGGAAGGAACCAACCAACCAACCAAGAUACAAAACAAUGACAAAAAGCUUAUUUACCCAAGGUCACAGGGUGAGUGGGCAGCAGACAGUAUGAAACCCUUAUCUAGCUCCAAAGCCUGUACCACAGAUCCCUUUGUACAGGAGAUAAAGCGUGUCACCAACCACAAGGGCCCAGGAACUCACCCUGAGGUGAGAGAGAGUUGACAUACUCAUUCUUUGUAUCAUUUAGGGGCCCUGUGUUUAUGGGGUCUGUACUGUGGGGUUCUACAUGAGUCUGCACUGGAGGCACUAUGACAAUCACCUUUGGCCUUGUGGAACUUGAUUCAGGUUUCAUUCUUCAACCUGAAAGAGCAAGGCUUCCUUGAGGGCACCCUAAACUGUGCCAUCCAUGCAGACCUGAAUAGUUGGCUCCUUACAGCAGUGGGAGGGCACAUUCAUUAACAGGGGAACUGCAGCAACAGCAACUGUCAGCAGUGGUGAGGCAGGGCCAGAGCAAGACACUGUGGCUCAGACAGUGGUGGCAAGAGACCAGGAUGGGAAACUGUAGGGUCACAAUAGGAGCAGCCUUGAUCCAAGCCAGGUUGACAGCAGCAUCAGAGAUGAGUUGGCACUUAGGUCUGCAGGCAUCCAAGCAGUCCCAAAGCCUGCCUUCAGUUUAACAGCAAGUGUGGGAGCCCGAUGCUGUGAUUUGAGUCCAGCCUCCAACCCUUCGAAACCUCACGACUUCUAUAAAAUGAAUUAGAUAGAGUACAUUCAGACAAGUUAAUUAAACUCUUUGUGCCCAGGUUUCUUGUCUGAAAAGUGAGAAUGAUAAUACUGUUACUGUUUCUCUCCCUCACAGGGCUGUUUUGAGGGUUAAAUGAGUGAACGCACAGAAAGCACUUGAAACAGUAAGCCCUCUUUCAGUAAAAGAUGUUACUAUGACAAUCAUCUUUACACAGGUGCACAACCAGAUUUUCAGGAAUUUGAAAAUGUGUCAUGAGUACAAGAAAGAAUCUGAAACAUUAGAACCGUGACUAAACCAAUGGCAUGGACUAAAACCACGUGUCCAAGAGAAACAGUGUUAGGACUGAUGAAGAAGAGCAGAAGAAAAUGGAGAGACUUUGGCGAGCAUCUGGAAAAAGUCCUGCAGAUUCCUAUUCUGUAGUAACAAGAGAUAUGGUGAGGAAGUUCCAUGUCCACUCGACUUCUUAAUCUAAGGUGUAAGUGAGCUGUCCAAGAAGUUCCUCCAUUCAUUCAUUCACUUUAAACUCAAUCAGUAAAUGUUGUCGGGCAUUUAUAAAUGCCAUGUGUUACAUCUUGAGAGAUGGAGACACAUGAUAGGAGAGACAGUUAUCCUCUCUGGGGGAUGGACAUGAACCAAGAAAAUGAGAAAAUGCAGAAAAGUUACAAUAUAUUACAAAGAAAUACAUUACAACAAGGAACUGAAAUAGAGAAUGAAUAGUGUGCCUGGAAAGUGUUAUGGACUGAAUGUUCGUGCCCCCCCCCCUUCACAUAGUGAAGCCUUAAUGCCCAUUGUGAUGGUGUUUGCAGAUGGACCUUUGGGAGGGCAGAACACAAAGGAUGGAAUUAGUGCCCUCAUACACAGAGACCAGGGAGCUUGUACCCCUCUCUCCAAGCAGGCAUGAAGCAGGCAUUAGCAUGUGUCUACCAGCCAGGGACAGAGGUCUCACCUCAAACCCAUCGUGCUGGCACCUUGUUCUCAGACUUUCAGGCUCCAGUGCUGUUAACAAUCUGUUGUUUGACAUGGCUCCUUUUAGGAUCUGAGUUUUAUUCGUGGUCUCGGGUAUCCAUGAAAAGAUUGUGAAAAUCAGACAUUGCUCCUUGUGCAGCUGCAGCGCCUGCUGCCAGGGUUCCUGUAAGUCCACUGAUGACAAUGCUUGUUUCCUUGUGUCCUGGAGGAAAUUCAGCUCUGGGAGGGGAUUACCGUGGUGAGAGCGGAGUGAGCAUGAAAGGAAAGCAUUGCCCAGUGGAGGUGAACCAGUCAAUCCACCUGGUGAAGAGAACUUCCUGAGAAACUUGACAAGUAGCUAUCCAUUGUACCAUUAUGAAACCUAUGAUUUAAAAAUGUUUAGAUGCCUUCUCCUUUUGAAGGAAAAAGGGUGCUUUUUAUUGUAUAAAGCAGCGUCUUCUGUAUUUUGACAUACCAUUGUUUGAACUUCUGUCUUUAGCUGGUAGGUUCUCAGUAAUAAUAAUAAUAAAAAAAAAACAACUGUUGUUUGAGCACAGAGUCUCCAGCACUUAGUUGUGGCGGCAUGUGUCACUAAUACAGGGGGACCGACUUACUUCAUAACAGUGAUCUGGGAAGGCUUCUCUGAGAAGACCUCAUUUUUAUUUCUGUUGUCAGCUCUCAGUAGCCAAAGAAGUAGCCUCUGGAGUGACCUGUGGACUUCAGCAAGAGAAGGCCUGCAUCAGGCCUUACAGCAUGGCACACGGCUCUGGGUGCUUCAGGUCAUUGCUCUGUCUCUCCUACUGGACAAGGCAUUGCCUCAAGGGCAGCGAUCAUCUCGUUACCAUAUUUUGAUCUCCUCGGCAUCUGCCAUAGCAAAGCUGUCUAGAGAAGUGAUGAUAUCCAACCUGUGUGUGUGUGUAUGUGUGGUGUAUGCCUUUAACAUCGCUGGAGAUUGAACCCAGAGCCUCAUACAAGCAUUCUACCACUGAGAAUGCUGUGAACAGAAGUCUGACUUCAGCAUGAGUGGAUCAAAAUUGCACACAUGAAGCACCAGGCAGCCUAGUCCUCUUUUUCCAGCAACAAGGGGACCUUCUCAACAUGGUGGUUUCAAGACAGCCAGGAGAACCAUGCUGCCUCCAGAAAUCGCUGCUCUACCCAAAGCCUGAGAUUCCCAGCUAGAUACAUAAUUACAUCGGUAGAGACCACAUUUUCCAGCUUCCCUUACAACUACAAGUGGUUAAAUGGCAGAAGCGAUGUGUCUGGAACUCCAAUGUGGUACUGAUAAGCUAGUUGUGACCAAGAGCAGGAGACGGAGCAAUAAUUUUGGACACAAAGGUGAAAGCUCUAUGCAGAAGAUGGGUUCUGGGCCCUUGAAGACCGUCACAGAGCCAAGAGUGUCCUUCCUCUUUUGCAGAGUUGUAUGCGAGAUGAAUAAAUUACAGUACUAUGUGAUGUAAGCCAUGUUACAUUGGACAUCUUUGUUACAGCAAACCUAUACCCUAGUGAAAACAUUGGGUUUCUGUCUUGCCCUGGUGUCUUAGUUUCUUUUUCUUAUUACUGAGACAAAAUACUCAACACCCAAAG
This is a non-coding RNA of Heterocephalus glaber (naked mole-rat), 3255 nucleotides long. The record is from RefSeq and is a predicted model, not a curated record. Lineage: Eukaryota; Metazoa; Chordata; Mammalia; Rodentia; Bathyergidae.